ACGGGGGGUUGAGAUAGUUACCUUCUUCAAAAGGAAGGGAAGGUAAGAUAUUAUACUAUUCAGUUAUUGUAUACUGGAUAGUUUUUACCCUAAACAAUGUUUCUAAAUGAAGAACAGUGAAUAUUUAUUGGACUGCUAAUGCUGAAUUUAAAAUCUAAGAUUACUUUAGAUAAGAAUUACCUUCAUUCUAGAAAGGUUUUUGGUUUUGCCUUGAAGCAUUUGAAACAUUUUAAGCAUUAAAAGUUCUAAUAUAUGGCUUCUGUGAAAUUAAGCAUUUUAGUUCCUGUAGGGCCAUCCCGACCACAAAGGACUGCAACAACCAUGCACGAGUUGUUUUUCUCUAGUCACGUGGAAAAAAGUUUUUAACUGAAGGACAUAAAUCAUAACACUUAAGUGCUUUGUGCAUCUAUUUAGAAAUCUGUUUCUUACUGAUAAACUUAAAUAGUGCAUUUUGAAAACUAGUAAACAGCUUACAGCUUUCAUUUAAUGUUUCAAAAUUCAAGGCAAUAUGAAAAUAAGAAGUAAAUUCAUUUUGUUCUGUAAUCUUAGUAAUCUUAUUACUUUACUAGUUAUGUCAAUAAUAUAUUUUUUUAAACUGGAUCCUUUUGUGGUUAUCACUCUUUGUAAUAAUGACGGCCUCUACUUACUUUCAAAAGUAAGAAUUUUCACACAGAUCAAGGGAAAUAGUAAAGUGACUCACCCUUGCAUUUGGGAGCAUAAAAAUUUGCCAUCGGGGAUUCAGAGGGUUGAGGGCUGGGCCUAGCUGCCUCUUAACUGGCUGCCAGAGGGCUUUUGCAUUUCAUUUUUUUUCUCCACUUGUAACAACUAAAAUUAUUAUGGAUUUAGUUUAGUCAACUUAAUCAAAUUGUGUAGUUACUUGCUGGUUUUCAGUGAAGAGAACAACAGAGCUUUGGUGCCAAGUGUCAGUGCCACAUAGGGAAACAAGUUCUCUGGGAUCACUUGUGCUGAUGAAGGAGGGAGGAAAGGGCUUGAGGUGCGCUCAACCAUUGAGCCACAUCCCCAGCCCUAUUUUGUAUUUUAUUUAGAGACAGAGUUUCACUGAGUUGCUUAGCCCUCGCUCUUCCUGAGGUUGGCUUUGAACUCACGAUCCUCCGGUCUCCCU
RNAcentral lists this long non-coding RNA (1123 nucleotides) under Marmota monax (woodchuck). Lineage: Eukaryota; Metazoa; Chordata; Mammalia; Rodentia; Sciuridae. The record is from RNAcentral.